This 913-nucleotide ribosomal RNA is filed under the name uncultured marine archaeon. RNAcentral's name for it is "bacterial SSU rRNA". It matches the Rfam family "Archaeal small subunit ribosomal RNA", at positions 1 to 922 of the family's 1478-position model. The record is from RNAcentral.
UCCGGUUGAUCCUGCCGGACCUGACUGCUAUCGGAUUGAUACUAAGCCAUGCGAGUCUUUGCAGUAAUGCAAGGCAUACGGCUCAGUAACACGUAGUCAACUUACCCUAUGGACGAGGAUAAUCUCGGGAAACUGAGCAUAAUACCCGACAGACCACUUCUCCUGGAAUGGUUAGUGGUUAAAAUGAUUCGUCGCCAUAGGAUGGGACUGCGGCCUAUCAGCUUGUUGGUGAGGUAAUGGCCCACCAAGGCGAUUACAGGUACGGGCUCUGAGAGGAGAGGCCCGGAGAUGGGUACUGAGACAAGGACCCAGGCCCUAUGGGGCGCAGCAGGCGAGAAAACUUUGCAAUGUGCGAAAGCACGACAAGGUUAAUCCGAGUGAUUUCUGCUAAAGGAAUCUUUUGUUAGUUCUAAAAAUACUAGUGAAUAAGGGGUGGGCAAGUUCUGGUGUCAGCCGCCGCGGUAAAACCAGCACCUCAAGUGGUCAGGAGGAUUAUUGGGCCUAAAGCAUCCGUAGCCUGUUCUAUAAGUUUGCGGUUAAAUCUAUACGCUCAACGUAUAGGCUGCCGUAAAUACUGUAGAACUAGGGAGUGGGAGAGGUAGACGGUACUCGAUAGGAAGGGGUAAAAUCCUUUGAUCUAUUGAUGACCACCUGUGGCGAAGGCGGUCUACCAGAACACGUUCGACGGUGAGGGAUGAAAGCUGGGGGAGCAAACCGGAUUAGAUACCCGGGUAGUCCCAGCUGUAAACGAUGCAGACUCGAUGAUGCAAUGGCAUAGAGCUAUUGCAGUAUCGCAGGGAAGCCGUUAAGUCUGCCGCCUGGGAAGUACGUACGCAAGUAUGAAACUUAAAGGAAUUGGCGGGGGAGCACCACAAGGGGUGAAGCCUGCGGUUCAAUUGGAUUCAACGCCGGA